GAUGAAGAACGUAGCGAAAUGCGAUAACUAAUGUGAAUUGCAGAAUUCAGUGAAUCAUCGAGUCUUUGAACGCACAUUGCGCCCCCUGGUAUUCCGGGGGGCAUGCCUGUCCGAGCGUCAUUGCUGCCCUCAAGCACGGCUUGUGUGUUGGGCCUCCGUCCUCCUCCCGGGGGACGGGCCCGAAAGGCAGCGGCGGCACCGCGUCCGGUCCUCGAGCGUAUGGGGCUUCGUCACCCGCUCUUGUAGGCCCGGCCGGCGCUUGCCGACACAUCAAUCUUUUUUCCAGGUUGACCUCGGAUCAGGUAGGGAUACCCGCUGAACUUAAGCAUAUCAAAAGCGGAGGA
RNAcentral lists this unclassified non-coding RNA (344 nucleotides) under soil metagenome. RNAcentral's name for it is "partial contains 5.8S ribosomal RNA, internal transcribed spacer 2, and large subunit ribosomal RNA". The stretch from base 1 to 120 matches the Rfam family "5.8S ribosomal RNA", at positions 35 to 154 of the family's 154-position model. The record is from RNAcentral.